This is a long non-coding RNA of Arachis duranensis, 1054 nucleotides long. RefSeq lists it as uncharacterized. The record is from RefSeq and is a predicted model, not a curated record. NCBI's taxonomy places the organism in Eukaryota, Viridiplantae, Streptophyta, Magnoliopsida, Fabales, Fabaceae. The transcript has 5 exons.
GUCUAAAUUCCCACAAGGCUUCUUCCACCCUAAUGUCUAUCCAUCUGGAACUGUUUGCUUGUCUAUACUUAAUGAAGAUAGUGGGUGGAGACCAGCUAUAACAGUGAAGCAAAUUCUUGUUGGUAUCCAGGAUUUGCUUGACCAGCCAAAUCCUGCUGAUCCUGCUUAGACAGAGGGAUAUCAUCUAUUUAUCCAGGUAUCUAACCUAAGAAAUUGGACAUUUUUUUCUUUCUUUUGUAGUAACUUUCAUAGUUUAAAGAAUGACUGAUCAUAUAAUCCAUACCGAUCAGGGAUAUCAUUUGCUUUUCACACUAUUUUUCUUGAUAAUUAUCUUGAUAUUUGAUCUUUAUCUUGGAAUUUGUAAUCGAUUAAAAGUUUUUAUGAUAUAUUAUUAGGAUAUUGGUGUGGGAAGAUGGAUUCUGCAACUUUGCAGCGUCAGCAGCAGCACCUGAAAUAAACUCUGGUUGAUAGGGAAAGUUGCUGCAGAUCACAGUCACAAAUGGAUAUACAAAGAGCCUAAUGAACAAGAAAUCAACUUCUUGUCAGCGUGGCAUAAUUUGGCUGAUUCACAUCCUAGGACUUGGGAAGCACAGUUCCAAUCUCGAAUAAAAGACCAUAGCUCUCAUUACUGUAAGAGAAGGUGUUGUUCAAUUGGGAGCAAUUCACAAGGUUUUGUCUCUAGUCUAUAUAUAUGAUUUGAAAUAAUUAAGUCUGUAAUUGUGGUUAAUUAGUGAUUAAUGAAUUAAGGUGAUUGAGGACUUGAGCUAUGUGGUUCUACUGAGGAAGAAAUUCAGCUACACAGAAAGCAACAUAAAUUAACUUGAUAAUGUUAAAAGGUCUUUCAGGAUGGGGACCUUCAGUGUAAUUAUAUACUAUUAAUGUUAAAAUUUUAGAGCUUAGUUUGUGUGUAUGCUUUAAAUUUUUUUAUGUGUAUUUGUUUUAUGUAAUUAGAUGAUAUUGAAAUAUUGAAGUUGUUUUAUUUUACUUUUAAAAAAAAAACAGUAAUAGUUGUGUAGCACAAUACCAUAUGUAAUUAUGUUUGGAACUAUUGACA